CUCAAUCAUAAGCGGAGGAAAAGAAACCAACAGGGAUUGCCUCAGUAACGGCGAGUGAAGCGGCAAGAGCUCAAAUUGAAAUCUGGCUCCUUCGGGGCUCCGACAUUGUAAUUUGGAGGAGGAUGCUUCGGGCAGGGGCCCCCAUUUAAAGGUCUCUGGAACGGGCCGUCAUAGAGGGGUUGGGAAUCCCGUUUGGGAAGGGGGGGUCCCGCCCGUGUGAAGAUCUCUUUGAAGAGUCGAGUUGUUUGGGAAAGCAGCUCUAAGAGGGUGGUAAAAUCAUAUAAAGCUAAAUAUAGGCCGGAGACCGAUAGCGCACAAGUAGAGUGAUCGAAAGAGGAAAAACACUUUGAAAAGAGAGAUAAACAGCACGUGAAAUUGUUGAAAGGGAAGCAUUGGCAACCAGACUUUCCUGGGGGGGGUCCGCCGGCACGUGGGCCGGGGCACUCCUCCCCGGCAGGCCACAGUCGGUUUGGGCGGUCGGUCAAAGAGCCCCGGAAAAUAGCACCCUUCGGGGGGCGUUAUAUCCCGGGGGGCCCCACGACCCCCCCCGGCCGAGGAACGCGCUUUUGGUCGGGGGCGGGGGUAAAAGUGUUCAAAGCGCCCUCUCGAAACACGGGGCACGGAGUGUAACAUAUAUGCGAGAGUUUGGGGGUCUCAACCCUCCGCGCACAGAAAGAGAGAGGAGGGGGGAGCCCUCUCGGGGGCGCACCAUCGACCGAUCCUGAUGUCUUCGGAUGGAUUUGAGUAAGAGCAUAGCUGUUGGGACCCGAAAGAUGGUGAACUAUGCCUGAAUAGGGCGAAGCCAGAGGAAACUCUGGUGGAGGCUCGCAGCGGUUCUGACGUGCAAAUCGAUCGUCAAAUUUGGGUAUAGGGGCGAAAGACUAAUCGAUCCAUCG
Molecule: ribosomal RNA, 896 nt
Filed under: Eurotiales sp.
Lineage: Eukaryota; Fungi; Ascomycota; Eurotiomycetes; Eurotiales
Description: partial large subunit ribosomal RNA
Rfam family: Eukaryotic large subunit ribosomal RNA
Source: RNAcentral